Molecule: ribosomal RNA, 441 nt
Filed under: uncultured bacterium
Lineage: Bacteria
Description: partial 16S ribosomal RNA
Rfam family: Bacterial small subunit ribosomal RNA
Source: RNAcentral
CCUACGGGAGGCAGCAGUGGGGAAUAUUGCACAAUGGGGGAAACCCUGAUGCAGCGACGCCGCGUGAGUGAAGAAGUAAUUCUGUAUGUAAAGCUCUAUCAGCAGGGAAGAAAAUUACGGUACCUGAGUAAUAAUGCCCGGCUAACUCCGUGCCAGCAGCCGCGGUAAUACGGGGGAUGCAAGCGUUAUCCGGAUUUAUUGGGUUUAAAGGGUGCGUAGGCUGGGAGGUAAGUCAGCGGUGAAAUGCCCCCGCUCAACGGGGUGAAGUGCCAUUGAUACUGCCAUGCUGGAAUGCGGAUGCCGUGGGAGGAAUGUGUGGUGUAGCGGUGAAAUGCAUAGAUAUCACACAGAACACCGAUUGCGAAGGCAGCUCACGAAGCUGCGAUUGACGCUGAUGCACGAAAGCGUGGGUAUCAAACAGGAUUAGAUACCCUUGUAGUC